UACGGAGGAUCCGAGCGUUAUCCGGAUUUAUUGGGUUUAAAGGGUGCGUAGGCGGAAAGAUAAGUCAGCCUGUGAAAGUUUGCGGCUCAACCGUAAAAUUGCAGUUGAUACUGUUUUUCUUGAGUGUACAUAAGGUAGGCGGAAUUCGUGGUGUAGCGGUGAAAUGCUUAGAUAUCACGAAGAACUCCGAUUGCGAAGGCAGCUUACCGGGGUACAACUGACGCUGAUGCACGAAAGUGUGGGUAUCAAA
This 250-nucleotide ribosomal RNA is filed under the name uncultured bacterium. RNAcentral describes it as "partial 16S ribosomal RNA". It matches the Rfam family "Bacterial small subunit ribosomal RNA", at positions 524 to 772 of the family's 1533-position model. The record is from RNAcentral.